RNAcentral lists this ribosomal RNA (253 nucleotides) under uncultured bacterium. RNAcentral's name for it is "partial 16S ribosomal RNA". It matches the Rfam family "Bacterial small subunit ribosomal RNA", at positions 524 to 776 of the family's 1533-position model. The record is from RNAcentral.
UACGAAGGGGGCAAGCGUUGUUCGGAAUCACUGGGCGUAAAGCGCACGUAGGCGGAUUGUUAAGUCGGGGGUGAAAUCCUGAGGCUCAACCUCAGAACUGCCUUCGAUACUGGCGAUCUUGAGUCCGGAAGAGGUUGGUGGAACAGCUAGUGUAGAGGUGAAAUUCGUAGAUAUUAGCUAGAACACCAGUGGCGAAGGCGGCCAACUGGUCCGGAACUGACGCUGAGGUGCGAAAGCGUGGGGAGCAAACAGG